UACGGGGGGGGCAAGCGUUGUUCGGAAUUACUGGGCGUAAAGGGCUCGUAGGCGGCCAACUAAGUCGGAUGUGAAAUCCCCAGGCUUAACCUGGGAAUUGCAUCCGAUACUGAAUGGCUUGAAUCCGGGAGAGGGAUGCGGAAUUCCAGGUGUAGCGGUGAAAUGCGUAGAUAUCUGGAGGAACACCGGUGGCGAAGGCGGCAUCCUGGACCGGCAUUGACGCUGAGGAGCGAAAGCCAGGGGAGCAAACGGG
RNAcentral lists this ribosomal RNA (253 nucleotides) under uncultured bacterium. RNAcentral's name for it is "partial 16S ribosomal RNA". It matches the Rfam family "Bacterial small subunit ribosomal RNA", at positions 524 to 776 of the family's 1533-position model. The record is from RNAcentral.